AUUCACUGAACUCAGAGAGGAGCACAUCACCCUUGUUGCAUAUCCCUAUAUUAUUAUAUGUGCAGAAGGCUGUUCUACAUCUACUAAAGAUCAGUGGUAGACACUUACCUGCAUUCCAUAGCGGUCAUUUUAGACCAUUGUUGAGAUACUUUUUUCCGUAAUGGAGCCACAUCACGCUGAGAUUUUUCAUACUAAUUAUUAGUCUGGGUCCGGCACUUCCAAUUCCAAUCCAAUACUGCGCCUGUGCUUUCACUGAAAACAGCAUACAACGAACAAGAGAGUCCACCAUUACCACCUUCCCUGGCAGGGAAUUCCACAUCCUGAUUGCCCUAACAGUGAAGAACCCUUUCUUCCAUUGCAUUCGGAACUUUCUCUCCUCCAGUCGCAGCGAGUGCCCACGUGUCCUAUACUGUUCUUUUAAUAAAUAA
Pseudophryne corroboree (corroboree frog) is the source of this 428-nucleotide long non-coding RNA. RefSeq lists it as uncharacterized. The transcript is spliced from 5 exons. The record is from RefSeq and is a predicted model, not a curated record. Lineage: Eukaryota; Metazoa; Chordata; Amphibia; Anura; Myobatrachidae.